RNAcentral lists this ribosomal RNA (253 nucleotides) under uncultured bacterium. RNAcentral describes it as "partial 16S ribosomal RNA". It matches the Rfam family "Bacterial small subunit ribosomal RNA", at positions 524 to 776 of the family's 1533-position model. The record is from RNAcentral.
UACGUAGGUGGCAAGCGGUAUCCGGAAUUAUUGGGCGUAAAGCGCGCGCAGGUGGUUUCUUAAGUCUGAUGUGAAAGCCCACGGCUCAACCGUGGAGGGUCAUUGGAAACUGUGAGACUUGAGUGCAGAAGAGGAAAGUGGAAUUCCAUGUGUAGCGGUGAAAUGCGUAGAGAUAUGGAGGAACACCAGUGGCGAAGGCGACAUUCUGGACUGAAACUGACACUGAGGUGCGAAAGCGUGUGGAGCAAACAGG